CUUGGAGGAAUGUAUAGCAAUAGCUAACUGCACUAAAAAUUUUAGUGUAAAAUCAACUAUGUUGAAUAAAAUUCUGGGUGGUACUAUGAUAAUGACAUUACUUAUUCAUAAGUCUCGACCAAGUUACGUGCCAGCAGUCGCGGUAAUACGUAGGAGACAAGUGUUAUUCAUCUUUAAUAGGUUUAAAGGGUACUUAGACGGUAAAUAAAGCCUCAUAAAGGGACUGAUUUGCUAGAGUUUUAUGUGAGAAAGUAUUAAAGUACUGCUGGUGUAGAGAUGAAAUUCUGUAAUACCUUGAAUGGCACAGGUUACGGCGAAAGCAUCUUUUUAUGUAAAAACUGACGUUGAAGGACGAAGGCUUUGUGUCUCGAACAGGAUUAGAUACCCUAGUAGUCUAAGCAGACAAUGAUGAAUGUCAUAGAUUAGACAUAUUUUGAUCUAUAAAUGAAAGUGUAAGCAUUCCACCUCAAGAGUAAUUUGGCAACAUUGGAACUGAAAUCAUUAGACCGUUUCUGAAACCAGUAGUGAAGUAUGUUGUUUAAUUUGAUAAUCCGCAAAAAACCUUACCACCUUUGAAUAGAUAUAUUUUAUCAUACAAGCGUUGCACGGCUGUCUUCAGUUAAUGUCGUGAGACUUUGGUUAGUUCCAUAAAAUUAACGUAAACCCUUACUUUAUUUCAUUAUAAAGUAGUUCACCACUAUAUUGGAUGUGAUAAUAGGGAUCAAGACAAGUCAUCAUGACCUAAAUAUUGUGGGCU
Molecule: ribosomal RNA, 757 nt
Filed under: Laundonia flavovirescens
Lineage: Eukaryota; Fungi; Ascomycota; Lecanoromycetes; Teloschistales; Teloschistaceae
Description: mitochondrial SSU rRNA
Rfam family: Bacterial small subunit ribosomal RNA
Source: RNAcentral